This 68-nucleotide transfer RNA is filed under the name Synendotendipes sp. Its description in RNAcentral is "tRNA-Trp". Lineage: Eukaryota; Metazoa; Arthropoda; Insecta; Diptera; Chironomidae. The record is from RNAcentral.
AAAAUUUUAAGUUAAAUAAACUAAUAGCCUUCAAAGUUAUAAAUAAAAAAUAUAUUUUUUAAGUUUUA